RNAcentral lists this non-coding RNA (23 nucleotides) under Arabidopsis thaliana (thale cress). The record is from RNAcentral. Lineage: Eukaryota; Viridiplantae; Streptophyta; Magnoliopsida; Brassicales; Brassicaceae.
ACCAAUUGACGAAAAAUGUGUGG